GCGUUUUGUUUGUUUCUUACUUUACCCCGGCGCCAGCACCCAGCACCCAGCAGCCGCCACGUAGGUCAGUUGUCUGUGGUGGCCGCUUCCGCCAGGGUGAGUGUGGUGUAGCGGCCGUGCGACAUGGCCCAUGCUGGUUGCCUGCUGUGCCUUGCUGUGGGUGGUCUACUGUGUGCGUGUGUGUGUGUGUGUUAACACGUUGGGCCAGGCGCUGAGCUUGCGGGGAAGCUGUGUACCAUGCCUGUGUGAUGUGCCCAGGACUGUGGGCUAUUUACCGCUGGUUGGUCAAUAUUCAGGACACCCAGCUAACAUAGCUCACGCGGCCACAGCCUUACCACUUCCUGCACACGGAGAAUCUUUUCCCUCACAACACCGCCGCCAUUUUUAGCCAGCCAGGUCUCCAUCUCGUGGCGACCAUAAUGCAUGGCCAAUUGCAGCGGGGUGUGUCCAUCCUUCGAUUGCACGUUUCCCAUCACCACAACGACAACCACCACUACCACCACCACCAGCACAGCCUCACCUGUACUAUUCGUGGCCAGAGGGUUACCGCCGAGGUCCAGCAAUGCCUUCACUGUUUGGGUGUGACCACACAUGGCAGCCAAC
Long non-coding RNA from Scylla paramamosain (green mud crab), 603 nucleotides. RefSeq lists it as uncharacterized. The record is from RefSeq and is a predicted model, not a curated record. NCBI's taxonomy places the organism in Eukaryota, Metazoa, Arthropoda, Malacostraca, Decapoda, Portunidae. The transcript has 4 exons.